UACAUGGUGUGUUGAAGAUUUUUCAAAUA
RNAcentral lists this non-coding RNA (29 nucleotides) under Mus musculus (house mouse). The record is from RNAcentral. Lineage: Eukaryota; Metazoa; Chordata; Mammalia; Rodentia; Muridae.